GUACUACUCCUUCCGAUCCAUAUUAGUUGUCGCUCAAACGGAUGUAUCUAGCACUGAAGUAUGUCUAGAUACAUCCGUUUAAGCGACAACUAAUAUGGAUCGGAGGGAGUAUUUA
Non-coding RNA from Triticum aestivum (bread wheat), 115 nucleotides. NCBI's taxonomy places the organism in Eukaryota, Viridiplantae, Streptophyta, Magnoliopsida, Poales, Poaceae. The record is from Rfam.